AUUCUGGCUCAGAUGAACGCUGGCGGCGUGCUUAACACAUGCAAGUCGCGCGUGAAAGGACUUCGGUCCGAGUAAAGCGGCGCACGGGUGAGUAACGCGUGGAUGAUCUACCCAUGAGUUAGGAAUAACGGCUGGAAACGGUCGCUAAUACCAAAUACGCUCCGAUUUCAACUUCGGGGGAAAGGUGGCCUCUGCUUGCAAGCUACUGCUCAUGGAUGAGUCCGCGUCCCAUUAGCUAGUUGGUGGGGUAACGGCCCACCAAGGCGACGAUGGGUAGCCGGUCUGAGAGGAUGACCGGCCACACUGGGACUGGAACACGGCCCAGACUCCUACGGGAGGCAGCAGUGGGGAAUAUUGCGCAAUGGGCGAAAGCCUGACGCAGCGACGCCGCGUGAGGGAUGAAAGGUCCUCGGAUCGUAAACCUCUGUCAGGAGGGAAGAACCGCCACGGUGCUAAUCAGCCGUGGUCUGACGGUACCUCCAAAGGAAGCACCGGCUAACUCCGUGCCAGCAGCAGC
Molecule: ribosomal RNA, 517 nt
Filed under: uncultured bacterium
Lineage: Bacteria
Description: bacterial SSU rRNA
Rfam family: Bacterial small subunit ribosomal RNA
Source: RNAcentral